UUUGGGUUUUUGAUCCUCAUUUAAGUUGUGGUCUUUUUAUACACAGAUUAGCCUUUAGUCAGAAGACAGCAACAGCUGUUUGUGAAACAGUCAAAUCAACAACCAUCAAGACAACCUAGAACUUCAAGGAUUUUGACAAACCGUGAAAURUUGCUCGUGGAAACAACAGAACAGAAGAAUCACUGGCUUAUCUGUAUUCCACACAGUAAGCCAAUGGCAAGGUCUGCAGACACAGGCAUUCCUGUGUUCAGGAAUUUUCACACUAAGAGCAUCACUUCUGAAGUGCAACACUACAGCUUACAAUAACCUACCACAGAUCAAACUGUGCAAUUCGAGUGCAACUGGUAGAGUAUCAUGCUUCGUAUUUUUUUCAUAAUUAGUU
RNAcentral lists this long non-coding RNA (382 nucleotides) under Dromaius novaehollandiae (emu). Its description in RNAcentral is "lncRNA (ENSDNVG00000011845.1)". Lineage: Eukaryota; Metazoa; Chordata; Aves; Casuariiformes; Dromaiidae. The record is from RNAcentral.